UCCGGAUUGGUGUAGGGGUUAACAUUGCCGCCUCUCAGUCAUGUGAUUAUAGAAGAUUACCUAAUCUUCGCGGCAGCCCGGGGUUCGAUUCCCCGAUCCGGAA
Molecule: non-coding RNA, 103 nt
Organism: Mycena olivaceomarginata
Lineage: Eukaryota; Fungi; Basidiomycota; Agaricomycetes; Agaricales; Mycenaceae
Source: the annotation of a GenBank genome assembly